UACGCAGGGGGCUAGCGUUGUCCGGAUUUAUUGGGCGUAAAGAGCGUGUAGGCGGCCAGGUAGGUCUGCUGUGAAAACUCGAGGCUCAACCUCGAGACGUCGGCGGAAACCAUCUGGCUAGAGUCCGGAAGAGGAGAGUGGAAUUCCUGGUGUAGCGGUGAAAUGCGCAGAUAUCAGGAAGAACACCCGUGGCGAAGGCAGCUCUCUGGGACGGUACUGACGCUGAGACGCGAAAGCGUGGGGAG
RNAcentral lists this ribosomal RNA (245 nucleotides) under uncultured Conexibacter sp. RNAcentral's name for it is "partial 16S ribosomal RNA". It matches the Rfam family "Bacterial small subunit ribosomal RNA", at positions 524 to 768 of the family's 1533-position model. Lineage: Bacteria; Bacillati; Actinomycetota; Thermoleophilia; Solirubrobacterales; Conexibacteraceae. The record is from RNAcentral.